This 2533-nucleotide long non-coding RNA is filed under the name Haliotis rubra (blacklip abalone). RNAcentral describes it as "uncharacterized LOC124261443". Lineage: Eukaryota; Metazoa; Mollusca; Gastropoda; Lepetellida; Haliotidae. The record is from RNAcentral.
UUUGCAACACUUUGGGGUUGGCAUCUCUGAUAAUGAACAGAAAAAGUUGGAGAUCAUGAAUAUUUGAUGGAAAUUUGUACAAAUUUGUAAUUCUCUGCAAGAAAGUAUCCCUCAAAUAUUAAUGUCCCCUAAAACGUUUUGUUCUGUAUAGUGUGACACCCAUUUCCAGUGUCACAAUAUUUUAGGUGUACCCUUUUCUUUGGUUUUGACAGACCCAUAUUGAAUCUGAAGGAAUAUAGAUUGUCAACAUGUACAGGAAUUGUCAACGUAUAGCAAUUGUUAACGUGUAUAGCAAUUGUCAACGUAUAGCAAUUGUCAAAAUGUAAUUCUUCAUUUGUGUUUCACAUUAUGAAUUUUGGUUACAUUAAAAGUCUACAUGACUUAAAAGUAUAAGUGACACUCUUUAACAACACCAGCAGCUUUCUGAUGUUAUUUAAAUUAAAUAACAACAUCAAAAUGUUUUCCCACAAACACUUCCCCCUUGGCAUUUUGAAAGAUCACGCCUGUUGUGGGCGUCUUCCUAUAUUUCAUAUUAUUGGAUGUAAGAGUGUAAGUGUCAGGUUUCUGUGGAGGAAAUAGUUAGAGGAAGUAUGUGAUUAGUAGGAAAUUAUAUAAUUUAAUUGUCUAUCUUGUGUCAGUCACUGUGAGAUUAGCCAUUAUACAUUUCAUAUUGUGUAUAUGUUCCUCUUGGGUUUGAAUCCAAAACUUAAACCCUGAGUCCUGUGUCUUGGUAGUUGCCAAGAUGACUGGAAGGUUCAGGGGGUCAGGUCUCAGCUUGGGAUGCAGGUCGUAAGAGGAGACUUCAUUGAUAGAAUGGUCAACCUGUGUAACUUUGUUGAGUGUGCGUCAUGAUACUCAGUUCAGGGGGUCAGGUCUCAGCUUGGGAUACAGGUCGUAAGAGGAGACUUCAUUGAUAGAAUGGUCAACCUAUGUAACUUUGUUGAGUGUGUGUCAUGAUACUCAGUUCAGGGGGUCAGGUCUCAGCUUGGGAUACAGGUCGUAAGAGGAGACUUCAUUGAUAGAAUGGUCAACCUGUGUAACUUUGUUGAGUGUACGUCAUGAUACUCAGUUCAGGGGGUCAGGUCUCAGCUUGGGAUACAGGUCGUAAGAGGAGACUUCAUUGAUAGAAUGGUCAACCUAUGUAACUUUGUUGAGUGUACGUCAUGAUACUCAGUUCAGGGGGUCAGGUCUCAGCUUGGGAUACAGGUCGUAAGAGGAGACUUCAUUGAUAGAAUGGUCAACCUAUGUAACUUUGUUGAGUGUGUGUCAUGAUACUCAGUUCAGGGGGUCAGGUCUCAGCUUGGGAUACAGGUCGUAAGAGGAGACUUCAUUGAUAGAAUGGUCAACCUAUGUAACUUUGUUGAGUGUGCGUCAUGAUACUCAGUUCAGGGGGUCAGGUCUCAGCUUGGGAUACAGGUCGUAAGAGGAGACUUCAUUGAUAGAAUGGUCAACCUAUGUAACUUUGUUGAGUGUGUGUCAUGAUACUCAGUUCAGGGGGUCAGGUCUCAGCUUGGGAUACAGGUCGUAAGAGGAGACUUCAUUGAUAGAAUGGUCAACCUAUGUAACUUUGUUGAGUGUGUCAUGAUACUCAGUUCAGGGGUCAGGUCUCAGCUUGGGAUACAGGUCGUAAGAGGAGACUUCAUUGAUAGAAUGGUCAACCUGUGUAACUUUGUUGAGUGUGCGUCAUGAUACUCAGUUCAGGGGGUCGGGUCUCAGCUUGGGAUACAGGUCGUAAGAGGAGACUUCAUUGAUAGAAUGGUCAACCUAUGUAACUUUGUUGAGUGUGCGUCAUGAUACUCAGUGGACAUGGAUUGUUGCUCAUGAUGUCACAUUGUGUGAUGAACUAACGUGUAAAUGUCUGUAUCAUUGACCUACAUCUGUGAGUGUGACCGAUAUUACUGAAGGCCUACUUAGUGCAUCCAGGACUUAUGAAUGUGUACAAGCCCUUACUGCCCCAUACUCACAUCAGAGUGUGUGACACAUCACCAAUACACUCAGCUCUACCAGAGUUGCUUACCCUUGUGCCAACAUACGUUAUGAUACCUGCAGUCAAACCACUCAGGAUUUCAGUAACUGCUAGAAAGCAUCUUUGAAUCUCGUGAAAUUAGACAAAUACUAAGUCUCUGAAAUGUAGAAUUUUGAUAGAAACAAAUAGCUCCAUUAAAUUGAAGAGGUGCUCAAGUAUGCUGGGAGAUUCAGAAUCUGAACCUGAGAGAAAUCUAGACUUGCUUCAUUUAGGGCUGAGCAGAAGGGAAAAUAAUGUGAUUCAGGGACUAUCUUAUGUUUCGGUGAGCAGUGUUUUUCCAAGAAUUGUUAUAUAACUUACAAGGUUUCUGAGAACGAAGACACUGUUAUAGUUUUAUAUUUAGUUUGCCAUUUUAUCAACCUGCUACAAUCAUGAAAGAGACAGAGUGGUAGCCUAAUGGUUAAAGCGUCCACUCGUCCAGCACAAGGCCUGGGUUCUAUUCAUUGUGUGAAUCCUUUUUCUGGUGUCCCUCUCUGUGAUAUUACUGGAAUAUUGCUAAAAGCAGCU